Molecule: ribosomal RNA, 490 nt
Filed under: uncultured bacterium
Lineage: Bacteria
Description: partial 16S ribosomal RNA
Rfam family: Bacterial small subunit ribosomal RNA
Source: RNAcentral
AUUGAACGCUGGCGGCAGGCCUAACACAUGCAAGUCGAACGGUAACAGGAAACAGCUUGCUGUUUCGCUGACGAGUGGCGGACGGGUGAGUAAUGUCUGGGAAACUUCCUGAUGGAGGGGGAUAACUACUGGAAACGGUAGCUAAUACCGCAUAACGUCGCAAGACCAAAGAGGGGGACCUUCGGGCCUCUUGCCAUCAGAUGUGCCCAGAUGGGAUUAGCUAGUAGGUGGGGUAACGGCUCACCUAGGCGACGAUCCCUAGCUGGUCUGAGAGGAUGACCAGCCACACUGGAACUGAGACACGGUCCAGACUCCUACGGGAGGCAGCAGUGGGGAAUAUUGCACAAUGGGCGCGAGCCUGAUGCAGCCAUGCCGCGUGUAUGAAGAAGGCCUUCGGGUUGUAAAGUACUUUCAGCGGGGAGGAAGGGAGUAAAGUUAAUACCUUUGCUCAUUGACGUUACCCGCAGAAGAAGCACCGGCUAACUCCGUG